Molecule: ribosomal RNA, 424 nt
Filed under: uncultured bacterium
Lineage: Bacteria
Description: bacterial SSU rRNA
Rfam family: Bacterial small subunit ribosomal RNA
Source: RNAcentral
UAACGAAUCUUCCGCAAUGCGCGAAAGCGUGACGGAGCGACGCCGCGUGGAGGACGAAGUCCUUCGGGAUGUAAACUCCUGUCAGGGGUUACCAAGUUCUGAGGAGCCCCAGAGGAAGGCACGGCUAACUCUGUGCCAGCAGCCGCGGUAAGACAGAGGUGCCGAGCGUUAGGCGGAAUCACUGGGCUUAAAGCGUGUGUAGGCGGGCCGCUAAGUACCUUGUGAAAUCCCCCGGCUCAACCGGGGAACGGCUGGGUAGACUGGCGGCCUUGAGGCACCCAGGGGCGAGCGGAACAGGCGGUGGAGCGGUGAAAUGCGUAGAUAUCGCCUGGAACGCCGACGGUGAAAACAGCUCGCUGGGGGUGUGCUGACGCUGAGACACGAAAGCCAGGGGAGCGAACGGGAUUAGAUACCCCGGUAGUCC